AUGCCAUGUCUAUUUCUCCCUGGCAGCAACUUCAACCGGUUAGCAGCAAGCAAACUGCAUUCUUUAGCAAAUCAUAGUUGCAUACAGCAAAGGCCAUGGCCCGGUGCCCAGCAGCAGCUAGCAAGCACGCACACGAGCACACAACAAGUACGUACACACAGACACACACACACACAACAACAUGCGCGCACGCCGCACGCAGAAGCAAGAGCACACACAGCCAACACACAAGCAAGCGCGGGAGGACCGGACGGGAGGAUAUCAGGGAAUGGAGAAGGUGGACGGGAUACCUUGAUGGCGGCGUCGGAGACUCCAAGCACCAGCGAGACAAAUCCAUGGGGCGGUUCCAGACGCCGGCGAGCGAAUCCAGGUAGUGGCGGCAGUGGCAGCAACUCCGCAGCGUACUCGUACGGUCACCGGCGAAUCCUACAUCAAAUCUGGUGCACAACAAAUUGUGUGAGAGAGUAA
Molecule: ribosomal RNA, 468 nt
Filed under: Triticum aestivum (bread wheat)
Lineage: Eukaryota; Viridiplantae; Streptophyta; Magnoliopsida; Poales; Poaceae
Description: partial small subunit ribosomal RNA
Source: RNAcentral